CCUACGGGUGGCAGCAGUGAGGCAUAUUGGUCAAUGGGCGCUAGCCUGAACCAGCCAAGUAGCGUGCAGGAUGACUGCCCUAUGGGUUGUAAACUUCUUUUAUAUGGGAAUAAAGUGCAGUAUGUAUACCGCUUUGCAUGUAUCUUAUGAAUAAGGAUCGGCUAACUCCGUGCCAGCAGCCGCGGUAAUACGGAGGAUCCGAGCGUUAUCCGGAUUUAUUGGGUUUAAAGGGUGCGUAGGCGGGUUGUUAAGUCAGUUGUGAAAGUUUGCGGCUCAACCGUAAAAUUGCAGUUGAUACUGGCAGCCUUGAGUACAGUAGAGGUAGGCGGAAUGCGUGGUGUAGCGGUGAAAUGCUUAGAUAUCACGAAGAACUCCGAUUGCGAAGGCAGCCUGCUGGACUGUAACUGACGCUGAUGCUCGAAAGUGUGGGUAUCAAACAGGAUUAGAUACCCGGGUAGUC
Molecule: ribosomal RNA, 460 nt
Filed under: uncultured bacterium
Lineage: Bacteria
Description: partial 16S ribosomal RNA
Rfam family: Bacterial small subunit ribosomal RNA
Source: RNAcentral